This 443-nucleotide ribosomal RNA is filed under the name uncultured bacterium. RNAcentral's name for it is "partial 16S ribosomal RNA". It matches the Rfam family "Bacterial small subunit ribosomal RNA", at positions 338 to 795 of the family's 1533-position model. The record is from RNAcentral.
CCUACGGGAGGCAGCAGUGGGGAAUAUUGGGCAAUGGGCGCAAGCCUGACCCAGCAACGCCGCGUGAAGGAAGAAGGCUUUCGGGUUGUAAACUUCUUUUCUCAGGGACGAAGAAAGUGACGGUACCGGAGGAAUAAGUCACGGCUAACUACGUGCCAGCAGCCGCGGUAAUACGUCGGUGGCGGUCGUUAUCCGGAUUUAUUGGGUGUAAAGGGCGUGUAGGCGGGAGGGCAAGUCAGAUGUGAAAACUCAGGGCUCAACCCUGAGCCUGCAUUUGAAACUGGGAUUCUUGAGUGCUGUAGAGGCAAGCGGAAUUCCGGGUGUAGCGGUGAAAUGCGUAGAUAUCCGGAGGAACACCAGUGGCGAAGGCAGAUCGCUGGACAGAAACUGACGCUGAGGCGCGAAAGCGUGGGGAGCAAACAGGAUUAGAUACCCUAGUAGUC